Molecule: unclassified non-coding RNA, 206 nt
Filed under: uncultured Sebacina
Lineage: Eukaryota; Fungi; Basidiomycota; Agaricomycetes; Sebacinales; Sebacinaceae
Description: sequence contains ITS2
Source: RNAcentral
UACUCUCACACUCUCUAAUGCGGUUGUGCAUUAGGAAGUGGUGGACUUGGGUGUUGCUGCUUCACGGUGGCUCACCUCAAAUGGAUUAGUGCAACUCCUGGUUGGACAUAGUACGGCGUGAUAAGUGUCUUCGCCGGCACCUCGUAAUAGAGGGUGGCCGAUCGGGAGCUCUGUGCUUUCAAACCGUCUUCGGACAACAACUGACA